AGUGACUUCAAGUCAAGGUGCUAGUUAUACGCAGAGGAAAAUCUCCAAAUCCCUUUGCUUUUUCGUGCAAAUCCGGGGCAAGACAGAGGGGAGUAGAAUCAAGAAGUCUGUGAUUCAAGCAAUUUAGCGAGGAGGAAGAGGAAAUGAAGAGAGCAUCUGAAGCUGAACCCAUCAGGCCGAACCUCGCGUGUUCUUAUCCAGAUACUGGUACUUCUAUUUUAUUGAAAAAAGCCAGACAGUUGCUCCGAGGAGACAAUAGAGAAUCUUCUGCUUCCUCUUCUUGCUCAUUUAAUUCUCCCUUGUGUGGUAAGACUGAUUGAUUUCAUUUUUUUGUCAGCCACGAAAUCUUUGUACGAAAAUUUUCAGGAGAGGGUAUGCUGCUCAAUUGUUUAUUUAGACAUUGUCAGUGACAAUUACUGUAAACAAAACAACAUAUGGAUAGGAUGGAUACUGGAAGUGGGAGAAUCGUUUGUUGAAAGUGGGAUAUUUCAGUGACAAUUACUGGAAACAAAAUAUUUCAGCUAAUUACUGUUUUAGCGUCUACUUUUAUUGUUUUAGUGUCUACAUUGUCAUGAGUGGUAUUGGUGGUGACAAUUGUUGAAACCCUUUUAACAAAGCGAAUCAUUUUUAGCACUAAUUGACUUAUGGUGUAACUAGUGUUUAGUUUAAUUACUAUGUGGAUGAUCAGUUGUUGAAUUGUUUUUUGAAGAAUCGAUUAUCAUCUCAAUUGGUUGUGAGCUUGUCAACUAACAAAUAAAGAUUUUGGGCAUCUCUGGCCCAUAGUUGUAUUGAGUUGGAUGAUCAGGUCAGGUUCUUUAAUAUGCUGGUUGAUUUGUGUAUUGGGUAAUUUUAGGAUUAUUGAGGCUGAGGGCUUGGGAAUCUUAGCUUUAGAAGAAAAUAGCAAUGGAAACUUAUUCCAAAGUAUUAGUUUUUUGGGCAAUGAGGAGGGUCAUAGGAUGAUGGGACGACAAGAGUGGCAUUGGUAGAGCUUAAUGAGUUAAUGAAGCUAUCUAUGAUGCAGAGAAAGUCGAACGAAACAGGACUGGCUUAUCAUCUUCUUCAGUAAGUGAGACAGAUGCUUUGCUCUUGGAAAUGACAUUAGGAGGAAACAAAGAAUUGUGGGAGAUGCAUUGGUUAGGACAUAAGGAGAAGAUGAUGAAGGGCUCUGGUGAUGACAAAACUGGGAAUGACCAGAUAAUCUUGCCACCAGCUACUUCUUGCUCAGUUAAUUCUCCCUUUCCUGUUGAGAGCGAUGAUGACAGGCACAGGUCGAUGCAAGCGCCGAAGUUUGAUCUGUGGAACUACUAGUGGGUCUGAUGACGUGAACUCGAGCCAAGUGCCUCAACGAGUCACUACAAGCCAUGGUUCAGGUUGUCCAGGAAUCAGUUGAAGCGCCAAGCAUGGAAUCGAGUCUUGUUAAUUUGCUCCAAGCCAUGGUUGAAGAUGCUUCUUGAAGGCCGAGCUUAGUCUGUAGAUUUGGGCUUGAAUUAGUAGCUAAAUAAUACGGUCCAGCCUUAAGCUUGGGUCCGUGUUUCUUUGUUAGGGUUUUGGGCUGCAUGUUUAGGUCCAGUUAGUCGUGUCGUUUCUUAAGCCCGUGAUUGGUUAUGUGUCAAGACACAUACAAACAUCGUUCUGCAUUCGUUAAUGGCAGAUUACAAUAUUUCAGAAAACCUUCCUGAGAGAUUGCUUUGUUGGCUGUACGAACUAUUCUUGAACAUCUAGAGUUCGUUCCGCUUAUUAAUCAA
Non-coding RNA from Coffea arabica (coffee), 1745 nucleotides. The record is from RefSeq and is a predicted model, not a curated record. Lineage: Eukaryota; Viridiplantae; Streptophyta; Magnoliopsida; Gentianales; Rubiaceae.